CCUACGGGAGGCAGCAGUAGGGAAUAUUGCUCAAUGGGGGAAACCCUGAAGCAGCAACGCCGCGUGGAGGAUGAAGGUUUUAGGAUUGUAAACUCCUUUUGGUAGAGAAGAAGAUGACGGUAUCUAUCGAAUAAGCACCGGCUAACUCCGUGCCAGCAGCCGCCGUAAUACGGAGGGUGCAAGCGUUACUCGGAAUUACUGGGCGUAAAGCGUGCGGAGGCGGGGUAAUAAGUCAGAUGUGAAAUCCUGUAGCUUAACUACAGAACUGCAUUUGAAACUGGUACGCUGGAGUGUGGGAGAGGUAGGUGGAAUUCUUGGUGUAGGGGUGAAAUGCGUAGAGAUCAGGAGGAAUACUCGUGGCGAAGGCGGCCUGCUGGAACAUUACUGACGCUGAUGCACGAAAGCGUGGGGAGCAAACAGGAUUAGAUACCCUUGUAGUC
This 440-nucleotide ribosomal RNA is filed under the name uncultured bacterium. Its description in RNAcentral is "partial 16S ribosomal RNA". It matches the Rfam family "Bacterial small subunit ribosomal RNA", at positions 338 to 795 of the family's 1533-position model. The record is from RNAcentral.